This 594-nucleotide ribosomal RNA is filed under the name Hanseniaspora uvarum. RNAcentral's name for it is "eukaryotic LSU rRNA". It matches the Rfam family "Eukaryotic large subunit ribosomal RNA", at positions 50 to 658 of the family's 3401-position model. The record is from RNAcentral. Lineage: Eukaryota; Fungi; Ascomycota; Saccharomycetes; Saccharomycodales; Saccharomycodaceae.
ACGGAGGAAAAGAAACCAACUGGGAUUACCUUAGUAACGGCGAGUGAAGCGGUAAAAGCUCAAAUUUGAAAUCUGGUACUUUCAGUGCCCGAGUUGUAAUUUGUAGAAUUUGUCUUUGAUUAGGUCCUUGUCUAUGUUCCUUGGAACAGGACGUCAUAGAGGGUGAGAAUCCCGUUUGGCGAGGAUACCUUUUCUCUGUAAGACUUUUUCGAAGAGUCGAGUUGUUUGGGAAUGCAGCUCAAAGUGGGUGGUAAAUUCCAUCUAAAGCUAAAUAUUGGCGAGAGACCGAUAGCGAACAAGUACAGUGAUGGAAAGAUGAAAAGAACUUUGAAAAGAGAGUGAAAAAGUACGUGAAAUUGUUGAAAGGGAAGGGCAUUUGAUCAGACAUGGUGUUUUUUGCAUGCACUCGCCUCUCGUGGGCUUGGGCCUCUCAAAAAUUUCACUGGGCCAACAUCAAUUCUGGCAGCAGGAUAAAUCAUUAAGAAUGUAGCUACUUCGGUAGUGUUAUAGCUUUUUGGAAUACUGUUAGCCGGGAUUGAGGACUGCGCUUCGGCAAGGAUGUUGGCAUAAUGGUUAAAUGCCGCCCGUCUGAAA